Saimiri boliviensis boliviensis (Bolivian squirrel monkey) is the source of this 4851-nucleotide non-coding RNA. Lineage: Eukaryota; Metazoa; Chordata; Mammalia; Primates; Cebidae. The record is from RefSeq and is a predicted model, not a curated record.
AGCGGAAGCGCGGGAGUGUGUUGUGAGAAAAGCCUCGGUCGCGUCGCGUUGGAAAGAGUCUUGAUCGUGAGUCGGCGUUUUGGGCCCGUCUGGAGGUGCUGGGCUCGGUAAUCUGCAGACAAGAAAAGUAUCAUUCAGGCUCAGAUUUGUGUUGAAGCCAGCCUCAGGAUUCACCUAUACUCACUGAUGAGUGGAUUUCUGUAAGAUCAGAGCACUGUCCUGAGGGUGCUUCCAGAAGAAGGGAGGCGCGUCCUGCCUCCCGGCUGCCCUGUUGCUGUCGGAGUCACAGGAUGGUGGCCCUUGUCCUACCUGCCACCGGUGGUGAGUCACGGGGUCUUAGCAUUUCUCAUAGUCCAGGAUUGAAAGGCUCUGACCCUCAGCCUGGCACAGGAGGGGGCUGGGCAGAGCAGGUGAGGCAGAAGUGGAGCCCCAGGGUCCUAGAGGUCCUCCGUGCCCGACAGGGCGGCUCUUGGGAUUUGGGACUUAGGUGUUUGGGUGUCUGUGGAUGUGACCAGUUAGUGAAUGUCCUGGAGCUUUUGAAUUCUCCCUUUAUUUCUUUCUGUGAACCUGAUAAAAACAGUGAUGUCUUUGGAAGCUGCUUCCUCAUCUAUGAAGUGGGAAUAAUCUCUUCCCCAGGUGCAGUCAGACCUUAAGCCCUGUUACCUUUCGUUGGUGAGACAGGGCUGUUUGGGUGUCUUAGGAGAGCUGUGGGUAAGUGUUUGCAUGGGGUGUAGGUAGGUGCUGUGUGGGCAUAGGAGGGGGAUGUGGUCAGUCACAGGCAGAUACAUGGGCGUUAGACAAGCCUAAAUCUCCGGGACUCAUUUCUCCUCCUCCAGCUGCGUCUUCCCCAUUCUCAGCCUCUCGGUAAAAAGGAUACACAGAAGGCUGAGGGCUGGUUAAUGAGCUCCUGACAAGCUGGCUACAGGGGUUGGUGACCUUCGAGGAUGUGGCUGUGGAGUUCACCCAGGAGGAGUGGGCGUUGCUGGACCCUGCCCAAAGGAUGCUACACAGGAACAUGACGCUGGAGAAUUUCUGGAACCUGUCUUCCUCACUGGGGAACCAAGUUGAUAAACCUAGUCUGAUCUCCCAGUUGGAGCAAGAAGAUAAAUUGAUGACAGAAGAGAGAGGAAUUGUCCCAGGCACCCAACCCGAUCAGUAUCAAUGCGUUGGGAGAAUGACACCAGUGCAGUUUCUCCUCGGAUUAAAGCAGCAGUCCCCAGGGCGGUGCAGCCUGCUACACCAAGUCCCGCCAAGAGAGGCACUAGAAUUGGGGCCCUGUGGCUGAACCUGGAGUGUAGUCCCGGUGGGCUGAAGAGGAGGUGUCCUUCUGAUCCGCCAUACGCAUAUACUUGGAGAAGUACAUGGACCAAGACACACAGUUUGGGCCCUGUCUUCAGAGUUUGUUCCAUUUAUGCAACGGGUGAGACUGGAGGUGCAGGCCAACCAGAGGCCACUGGGAGCUCUACUGGACAAUGAGGAGUUCCUAACAAUCUCCCACAUCCCAGCCAAGGCAUCCCGAGGUCACGCUGGGAGCCCCAGCUGAAAAGAAGGCUGACUUCCGAGAUUACGGCAGACUGGAAGGAGUAGUGAUUACAGUGACCUGACAGGAAAGGCCUUGACUUGGCCUCGAGCAGGGCCAGGAUUUCCUCUGUUUCCGAGUUUUUCCUGCAGAGGUAAGUAAUCCCCUCUCCUGGUAUACGGCCUCAUGUACAUGUACAGUAGCAAAGGCGUACCGACUGUCAUUGUGGAUGUUUACUUGCUUGUCUUUGGCCCUGGGUGAGGGCUACUAGUUCAGCCUUUCGUGCGGAGGUGCCACCGGUAGUGCUUGGGCCCAAAUAAUAUUGGUCUCUUGUUGUGAUAGCUGCACCGGCCCUGCAUACCCCCUGGUUGAUGAAACUGCUUCCAUCGGUGAACAGAGUGGUGUCCACCUGUUCCAGAGGGAUAUCUUCCAAGUCUGGCCUACAGGUCUUAGUGACCUCAGGUAUUUCUUGGCAGUCAUGAAUGGGAGCAGAGAAGUCUGGGUCUGGGAGCAAAGUUGCCAGAUUCACGCAGCAUGCAGGAUGGAAAGUCAGCCUGGGCUGGUCCAGUAGCAGGCUUUGGUACUGUAAGAUCUGCGAGUUUGACAUCCAUUUUUCCGAGGCACUCCUGAGCAGAGUUUCCACUGCAUGGGGUGCCGUAAGGGUCAGUUACUGGCCCAAGGUUAAUUUACCGGUUUCCUGGACCAAACUUGGAGUAGCUGCCACUGCCCACAGGCAGCUUGGCCAAUCAGAAGCCACUGGGUCCAAAUUUUUUGAUAAGUAGGCAUCUGGCUGCCACCAUGGUCCCAGGGACUGGGUGAGGACUCCCUUAGCCAUGCCCUUGUUUUCCUGGACAAACAGGUGGAAAGGUUUUGACACAUCAGGGAGUGCAAAGCCAGUGCUUCAGUGAGAGCCCUUUUUAAGUUCUGGAAGGCCCGUUCCUCUGUCUCAAUCUAGACCAAGUCUCCGCUUUCACUGGUCACAGUGUAGAGGGGCUUUGCGAUUUCUGUGAACCCCGGAAUCCAGAGGCGGCAGUACCCUGCUGCCUCCAGGAAUUCCCACAACUGUUUUUUUUUUUUUUUGUGGUAGGACUUGGAAUUUGUAAGAUAGCCUGUUUUUGAGCAUCGGAAAGUGCUCGCUUUUCUUUGGUGAGUUCAUAUCCUAAGUAAAGUACCUUCUGGAGGCAGACUUGGGCCUUUUUUGCUGAGACUUGGUAUCCAAGUCCUUGGAGGAGACACAGCAAGUCUUUUGUAUGUUGUAGACAGCUGUUGGCUGUUUCCAUGGCCAGCAGUGAGUCAUCUGCAUACUAGAGAAGGGUGCAGUCUGGAUAACUGGCUCAGAAAGGCACUAGGUCCUGUUGGAGAACAUCUCCAAAAAGGGUAGGAGAAUUCUUGAACCCCUGGGAUAAGUGGGUCCAAGUAAGUUGGAUGGUGUCUCCUGAGUUUGGAUCUGUCCAUUUGAAAGCAAAGAUUGGCUGGCUGCUGGCGGCCAAGGGGAUGGCGAAGAAAGUGUCCUUUAAGUCCAAAACAGUGUAUACUGGAUGGUUUGGUGGGAGCAGGCUGAGGGUGUAUGGGUUCAGGACAGUCGGGUGAACAGCGACCAGACUGCUUGUUAACGUCCCAUAAGUCCUGGACCAGCCGAUAGUCAUUGGUACCAGCCUUCUUUACUGGCAGGAACAGAGUAUUCCAGACCGAUUUGCACAGCCUUAAAAUAUCUGCCUGCAGUAGCCGCUGUAUGUGGGGACUUAGGCCUUCCCUGGCUUUUUGCCUCAUGGGAUACUGUUUUACUUGUACCGGUAGAGCUGUAGCCAACAAGUCCACUGUCCCAGGGGGUUUGAUUCUGCCCAAAAGUGGGGAAACUAGGCCUCUAAUUCCAGCAUAAGUGAGCCGUUUUCUGAGGCUACGGCUGGGGUAUUUAAAACCAGGAGGUAUUCUUCUGACACGGGGAUGGUCAGUAAGAGGUGGGUAGUUGAUGAAUCGUGGUCCUCUAAGGUGAGAUGAGUUCCUCGGGUUGAGAAAAGAGAUAGAGGCUUGCAGUUUAUGGAGUAGGUAUCUUCUCAUUAGGGGACACAGGCACUCCGAAACUACCAAGAAGGAAUGAGUUACUCUUUCCUGGCCUAGAUUUACUUCUGGGUAGUUGCAGAUAGUCCCUGUGGCCCCUAGAACUGCUCCUUUUGUGAUUGGUGACCUGGCCCAAAGGUGUUUUUAAUACUGAGUGUUCGCUCCAGCUUCAAAUUAAAAAUGUUACAGCGUGACCCCCUGGAGACUCAUUGGUCCCCUGGACCACUUCUGUGGUUUUAGGUAAAUUCAUGGGAUUCCGUGCAGCUCCCUUAAUACCUGAGAGAAGAUACCGGUGGAAGUUGUCCAAAGCCCUUCUCCCCGCCGAGAAGUUAGGGUCCAGUCUGGUCCGGUUGAGGGGGAAACUUCCUCCAACCAGGUCCUGCCCUCCUCUUCAGGUUGGCCAGUGGAGGAUUUGCUGACAGUCGUCCCAAGUAGAACGAUGAGUCUGGAGUAUGGAUUCCACCAGGAGGUCAGAACCUGGGUUUUUUCAGAAAACAGCAGGUUGAGUUCUCUAAUUAUAUAAAUCAGAGGUGGAAAAUGGGACAUAAACCAAAAAUGGGGUUGAUUGUUCACUACCAGCCGGAGGCGGUGCUUCCCUCAAAGGGAGGAGGGGAGCAGCCUCCACCUUCUGUUGUGGCCAAAGCCUGGAGGCCACAGGUGGUGAUGCAGUGGCGGGUACAGAAAAAGUAACGGUGAGCAACAACUGGGUCAUAGGGCAGAGGGAGGAUUGGGGGGAAACCUUUGUCCUCCCCAGACGGGGGCAGGACUGGAGGGGCCGAGCUGAAGAGGGUGGUGACCGAGUAGUAUGGUUGAGUACCUUAGAGGCAGGGUUUUGAGCUGUGCAGGACUGCAGCCACGGUGGUGGGUUCAGGACCAGCCUUAGCUACUGAUCAAUAUAUAGGAACUGGUUGGGGUGACCUGGGUUUCUUGUGACUACCCUCCAAACUGCCUGGACCACGUCAGGGCCUGUGUUCGGCCAUCCCAUGUCAAAGGUUGGCCAUUCUAAUUCACAUAGGGUUCAGGGCUGGCCCUUGGAGAGGCGAACUCCAGUGAGAUAAUCUAGCCUGUCUAUGGUGACUCCAUUUUAAGCAAUCCUGUUAACUCCCAUUCUGAUCACCCUUAGCUACACAGAGCACUUUGUUCCUGAAACUUUGUAGCCUGAGGCACCUGGUAUUUUGUAACCGGUUUUUCUGAGAAACACUGCCCACUGGCCCGUAAAUCCUGUACAGGUAUUGAUCAACUUACGACCUAUGCAACUUCCGACCAUUCGACUU